UUGAACUGGAGAGUUUGAUCCUGGCUCAGAUUGAACGCUGGCGGUAGGCCUAACACAUGCAAGUCGAACGGUAACGGACCGCUGGGAUUCCUUCGGGAUGACCUUGGUGCCGACGAGUGGCGGACGGGUGAGUAACACGUAGGAAUC
Molecule: ribosomal RNA, 147 nt
Filed under: Pseudomonadota bacterium
Lineage: Bacteria; Pseudomonadati; Pseudomonadota
Description: Proteobacteria bacterium (marine metagenome) partial 16S ribosomal RNA
Rfam family: Bacterial small subunit ribosomal RNA
Source: RNAcentral